Molecule: long non-coding RNA, 415 nt
Filed under: Medicago truncatula (barrel medic)
Lineage: Eukaryota; Viridiplantae; Streptophyta; Magnoliopsida; Fabales; Fabaceae
Description: long non-coding RNA (MTRU_LNC003616)
Source: RNAcentral
CUUCAGAGAUAGCAUUAACAAACCCUGCACUGUGGAAGACUCCCGAGGAAACCCUUGAUGACGGGGAGAACCCGAGACCUUCUUUACGCUUGUUCUCACAGAGCUGUAUCACCUUGCCCCAGCCGGCAGUCUGACCUUCUUGGAUGGCUCUCUGAGCAUCUUUCAAUGAAGCCAUAGCAGCCCCAGCUUCCUUAGGCUCUGCACCUUCAAUGGUCAAACCUUGGAAAGCAGUCCCUUCAGCAGACCCUGCUUCAACACAAGAAAAAGAAGACAACUGGCUGACUAAGUAUGCUUCUUCACCAUGGAUUGUAACGAGUUUUCCAUUCUUCACAAAUUUCAACUUCUGAUGUAAGGUGGAAGUAACCGCACCUGCAUCGUGUAUCCACGGUCUUCCCAGCAGGCAACUGUAGGAUGC